Molecule: ribosomal RNA, 482 nt
Filed under: uncultured bacterium
Lineage: Bacteria
Description: partial 16S ribosomal RNA
Rfam family: Bacterial small subunit ribosomal RNA
Source: RNAcentral
AUUGAACGCUGGCGGCAUGCUUUACACAUGCAAGUCGAACGGUAACAGGCCGCAAGGUGCUGACGAGUGGCGAACGGGUGAGUAAUGCAUCGGAACGUGCCCAGUCGUGGGGGAUAACUACUCGAAAGAGUGGCUAAUACCGCAUACGAUCUAUGGAUGAAAGCGGGGGACCGUAAGGCCUCGCGCGAUUGGAGCGGCCGAUGUCAGAUUAGGUAGUUGGUGGGGUAAAGGCUCACCAAGCCAACGAUCUGUAGCUGGUCUGAGAGGACGACCAGCCACACUGGGACUGAGACACGGCCCAGACUCCUACGGGAGGCAGCAGUGGGGAAUUUUGGACAAUGGGCGCAAGCCUGAUCCAGCAAUGCCGCGUGCAGGAAGAAGGCCUUCGGGUUGUAAACUGCUUUUGUACGGAACGAAACGGCUCUGGUUAAUACCCGGGGCUAAUGACGGUACCGUAAGAAUAAGCACCGGCUAACUACGUG